RNAcentral lists this ribosomal RNA (403 nucleotides) under uncultured bacterium. RNAcentral's name for it is "partial 16S ribosomal RNA". It matches the Rfam family "Bacterial small subunit ribosomal RNA", at positions 28 to 526 of the family's 1533-position model. The record is from RNAcentral.
GACGAACGCUGGCGGCGUGCCUAAUACAUGCAAGUCGAACGAAGUGGGGACGGGUGAGUAACACGUGGGUAACCUCCCCUCAGAGGGGAUAACACUUGGAAACAGGUGAUAAACCGAUAUUGAUGGCUGGACCCGCGGGGCAUUAGCUAGUGGGUGAGGUAACGGCUCACCAAGGCCACGCUGCAUAGACGACGUGAGAGCGUGUUGUGCAACACGGGGAGUGAGACACGGCCCAGACUGCUGCGGGGGGGAGCAGUAGGGAGGCUGCGGCAAUGGACGAAAGUCGGACCGAGCAACGCCGCGGGAGUGAAGAAGGUUUUCGGAUCGUAAAACGCUGUUGUUAGAGAAGCGGUAUCUAACCAGAAGGCCACGGCAAACUACGGGCCAGCAGCGGCGGUAAGUC